UUUUAUGGCGGUUGUGCGCGGGAGACUUUCGGGUCUGCCGAGUUUUUGGAUUCUUUCCUCGGUCUGCGAACCCUCGCGCAACUGCCACCCAU
This 92-nucleotide non-coding RNA is filed under the name Pseudomonas thivervalensis. Lineage: Bacteria; Pseudomonadati; Pseudomonadota; Gammaproteobacteria; Pseudomonadales; Pseudomonadaceae. The record is from RNAcentral.